This 1410-nucleotide ribosomal RNA is filed under the name Campylobacter jejuni. RNAcentral describes it as "partial 23S ribosomal RNA". It matches the Rfam family "Bacterial large subunit ribosomal RNA", at positions 1 to 1281 of the family's 2925-position model. The record is from RNAcentral. Lineage: Bacteria; Pseudomonadati; Campylobacterota; Epsilonproteobacteria; Campylobacterales; Campylobacteraceae.
AAAAAAGGUAAGCUACUAAGAGCGAAUGGUGGAUGCCUUGACUGGUAAAGGCGAUGAAGGACGUACUAGACUGCGAUAAGCUACGGGGAGCUGUCAAGAAGCUUUGAUCCGUAGAUUUCCGAAUGGGGCAACCCAAUGUAUAGAGAUAUACAUUACCUAUAUAGGAGCGAACGAGGGGAAUUGAAACAUCUUAGUACCCUCAGGAAAAGAAAUCAAUAGAGAUUGCGUCAGUAGCGGCGAGCGAAAGCGCAAGAGGGCAAACCCAGUGCUUGCACUGGGGGUUGUAGGACUGCAAUGUGCAAGAGGUAAGUUUAGCAGAACAUUCUGGAAAGUAUAACCAUAGAGGGUGAUAGUCCCGUAUGCGAAAAACAAACCUUAGCUAGCAGUAUCCUGAGUAGGGCGGGACACGAGGAAUCCUGUCUGAAUCCGGGUCGACCACGAUCCAACCCUAAAUACUAAUACCAGAUCGAUAGUGCACAAGUACCGUGAGGGAAAGGUGAAAAGAACUGAGGUGAUCAGAGUGAAAUAGAACCUGAAACCAUUUGCUUACAAUCAUUCAGAGCCCUAUGUAGCAAUACAGGGUGAUGGACUGCCUUUUGCAUAAUGAGCCUGCGAGUUGUGGUGUCUGGCAAGGUUAAGCAAACGCGAAGCCGUAGCGAAAGCGAGUCUGAAUAGGGCGCUUAGUCAGAUGCUGCAGACCCGAAACGAAGUGAUCUAUCCAUGAGCAAGUUGAAGCUAGUGUAAGAACUAGUGGAGGACUGAACCCAUAGGCGUUGAAAAGCCCCGGGAUGACUUGUGGAUAGGGGUGAAAGGCCAAUCAAACUUCGUGAUAGCUGGUUCUCUCCGAAAUAUAUUUAGGUAUAGCGUUGUGUCGUAAUAUAAGGGGGUAGAGCACUGAAUGGGCUAGGGCAUACACCAAUGUACCAAACCCUAUCAAACUCCGAAUACCUUAUAUGUAAUCACAGCAGUCAGGCGGCGAGUGAUAAAAUCCGUCGUCAAGAGGGAAACAACCCAGACUACCAGCUAAGGUCCCUAAAUCUUACUUAAGUGGAAAACGAUGUGAAGUUACUUAAACAACCAGGAGGUUGGCUUAGAAGCAGCCAUCCUUUAAAGAAAGCGUAAUAGCUCACUGGUCUAGUGAUUUUGCGCGGAAAAUAUAACGGGGCUAAAGUAAGUACCGAAGCUGUAGACUUGCACACAACUUAGAUUAUUUAAGUUUAGAAUAUGAGAAACUAAGUUAUAUGUUUAGUUAUAUUUUUACUGAUUUUUAUAGAGUAAAGAUAGAAAUAAAACUUAGUAAAAUCAGUAAAAAUAUUCUUAGACUAAAGUUAAGUAGUUUAAGUUGUGUGCAAGUGGUAGGAGAGCGUUCUAUUUGCGUCGAAGGUAUACCGGUAAGGAGUGCUGGAGCGA